RNAcentral lists this ribosomal RNA (440 nucleotides) under uncultured bacterium. RNAcentral's name for it is "partial 16S ribosomal RNA". It matches the Rfam family "Bacterial small subunit ribosomal RNA", at positions 338 to 795 of the family's 1533-position model. The record is from RNAcentral.
CCUACGGGGGGCAGCAGUGGGGAAUAUUGCACAAUGGGGGAAACCCUGAUGCAGCGACGCCGCGUGAGUGAAGAAGUAUCUCGGUACGUAAAGCCCUAUCAGCAGGGAAGAAAAUGACGGUACCUGACUAAGAAGCCCCGGCUAACUACGUGCCAGCAGCCGCGGUAAUACGGAGGGGGCAAGCGUUAUCCGGAUUUACUGGGGGUAAAGGGAGCGUAGACGGCAGCACAAGGCUGGAGUGAAAUCCCGGGGCUUAACCCCGGAACUGCUUUGGAAACUGUGCGGCUGGAGUGCAGGAGGGGUAAGCGGAAUGCCUGGUGGAGCGGUGAAAUGCGUAGAUAUUAGGAGGAACACCGGUGGCGAAGGCGGCUUACUGGACUGUAACUGACGUUGAGGCUCGAAAGCGUGGGGAGCAAACAGGAUUAGAUACCCCUGUAGUC